UACAGAGGGUGCAAGCGUUAAUCGGAAUUACUGGGCGUAAAGCGUGCGUAGACGGUAGCGUAAGUCGGGUGUGAAAGCCCCGGGCUCAACCUGGGAAUUGCAUUCGAGACUGCUCUGCUAGGGUGCGGAAGAGGGAAGCGGAAUUUCCGGUGUAGCGGUGAAAUGCGUAGAUAUCGGAAGGAACACCAGUGGCGAAAGCGGCUUCCUGGUCCAGCACCGACGUCAGGCACGAAAGCGUGGGGAGCAAACAG
This 251-nucleotide ribosomal RNA is filed under the name uncultured bacterium. RNAcentral's name for it is "partial 16S ribosomal RNA". It matches the Rfam family "Bacterial small subunit ribosomal RNA", at positions 524 to 775 of the family's 1533-position model. The record is from RNAcentral.